AUUUUUUUAGUAUAGUUAGUACUGAUGACUUCCAAUCAUCAAGCCUUGGUUUAACCCCAAGAAAAGAUA
This 69-nucleotide transfer RNA is filed under the name Aplastodiscus arildae (Teresopolis treefrog). RNAcentral's name for it is "tRNA-Gly". It matches the Rfam family "tRNA". From Rfam's summary of the family: Transfer RNA (tRNA) molecules are approximately 80 nucleotides in length. Lineage: Eukaryota; Metazoa; Chordata; Amphibia; Anura; Hylidae. The record is from RNAcentral.